GGCAUGAUGACAUGAACCACCUGAUGAGGAC
Molecule: non-coding RNA, 31 nt
Filed under: Mus musculus (house mouse)
Lineage: Eukaryota; Metazoa; Chordata; Mammalia; Rodentia; Muridae
Source: RNAcentral